RNAcentral lists this long non-coding RNA (413 nucleotides) under Rattus norvegicus (Norway rat). RNAcentral describes it as "long non-coding RNA NONRATT003214". Lineage: Eukaryota; Metazoa; Chordata; Mammalia; Rodentia; Muridae. The record is from RNAcentral.
GUGACUACUGAGCAAGGAGGCCAGGCUCAGCCUGAGGCCAGACUUCCAGAGGGGCUAUUAAGAGCACUACCUGGGUUCGGCUGGCUCGCAGAAGAAGGAAGCAGAGGCAUUGGCUGAACAAGAUGUAGCAAGAGAAGGUAGUGUCUGCAGGCCACUCAGAAGGCGACCAAUAGAACCAACCUGGGGUUGCUCCGUGGCGCGGGUUCAGUGUCUUUCCUGUUCUGGGCUGAAGUAUCUCUUGGAAGAGGAGCAUCCUCUGCAGGGUGUCAGGAUGCGCAGGUCCCAAACCAGCUCUCAUCACCUGGUUGGAACGAAAUACUGAUGAUUGGGAACCCGCAGCCCUAGAUCCGCAGGAGUACCGGAGAUGGGUAACAUUCCAGAGAAAAACCAGGACCAGGCAGAAGAAUGAAGAG